Molecule: ribosomal RNA, 468 nt
Filed under: uncultured bacterium
Lineage: Bacteria
Description: partial 16S ribosomal RNA
Rfam family: Bacterial small subunit ribosomal RNA
Source: RNAcentral
GACGAACGCUGGCGGCGUGCUUAACACAUGCAAGUCGAACGGAAAGGCCCUGCUUUUGUGGGGUGCUCGAGUGGCGAACGGGUGAGUAACACGUGAGUAACCUGCCCUUUACUUUGGGAUAACUUCAGGAAACUGGGGCUAAUACCGGAUAGGAGCUCCUGCUGCAUGGUGGGGGUUGGAAAGUUUCGGCGGUUGGGGAUGGACUCGCGGCUUAUCAGCUUGUUGGUGGGGUAGUGGCUUACCAAGGCUUUGACGGGUAGCCGGCCUGAGAGGGUGACCGGCCACAUUGGGACUGAGAUACGGCCCAGACUCAUAAGGGAGGCAGCAGUGGGGAAUAUUGCACAAUGGGCGGAAGCCUGAUGCAGCAACGCCGCGUGCGGGAUGACGGCCUUCGGGUUGUAAACCGCUUUCGCCUGUGACGAAGCGUGAGUGACGGUAAUGGGUAAAGAAGCACCGGCUAACUAAGUG